Molecule: RNA transcript, 2082 nt
Organism: Gossypium raimondii (Peruvian cotton)
Lineage: Eukaryota; Viridiplantae; Streptophyta; Magnoliopsida; Malvales; Malvaceae
Exons: 5
Source: RefSeq, a predicted model, not a curated record
CCAAAUUUCCAUUAGAUUCAAUUUUCAUGGAAAAUAGAGUCCAAGAUAUCUGUUAUUUUUAAGUGAUGUUGUUGUUUUUACUUGAAAGCAAGCAUAUCAUAGCUUAAAUGAUCUAUCAUUUCCAUCGUGCGUUAAGCUAUCAUAACUGCCAUUGAUGUUGGAUUGGAUUGUCUUAAGCUUAGACCUUAUGAUUUUUCAGUGUGGUUCAUCAAUGUGCUUAAUUACCUGUUUGAAACCUUCUCAGGAAAUAGCUAUAAUGGCAGUUGUUCUUGUUUGGUUUAUAUUUCAUGCCAUUAAGGUUGGACCUUUAUUCAAGGUUUGAGCUUGGAACUUUCGGUUUUGAGGUCUUAAGCUUAAAACUCCAAUCUAUGUUAGAUGCUCAUUUCUAAAGAAACACAUUAUAUAAGUGGAUCGUGUAUUACGUACAUAAGGAACGUGUAACACUACUAUUUUAGAUACUAAUUCGAGUAGAAGUUGGGUCGUUUGGUGUAAGGAAGUAGGAUCUAUACCGACAUUUCCCUUCUUUAAAAACUCUUAUGGGUAUAUAUAAGAUUAAGAUUAACAAUCCAUAUGGCUGAGCAUCGUAUGUGCAAAAUAUUAGAAUCAAUUCAUGUUUUAAAUACUAAUUUUUCACAUUUAAUUCAUUCAUUAAAAGAAAUGAAAAAAUUCCACUCAUCAACUUGUUUAGGGAUAAGUGUUGGAAACCUUUUUAACUCAACUAUGGUAGCUUGUGGAACUAUGUUUACAAGGCAUAUAGCUUUGCUUAGUGCUGAGUGUUGACCCCAUUGCCAAAGUGCAAUAUAAAGAGAGAGUAUUUGGAUGGGAUCCAUAUGAAUUAAAAAUGGUAAUUCGCUGUAUUGAAAUAAUUAAUCUAAUGACCUCCCAUUUUGUGAGAGAAUCUUCCCUCCAUCCAGCCAGGGUCCCCUUCAGACUUGAGCUACAUAUGCUGACUUCGUUUCCACUUUAAUCCGUGGCCUCAUUUUAGCUGCUUACCAGAAUACUCAAGGAAAUUCUGGAGAGAACGAUCCGAAUAAUACCACAAUUUUUGUUGGUGGUUUGGAUCCUAGUGUUUCUAGAUAUUUUGUUGUUGGUGGUUAGAGAUUUUUGUUGCUGGAUAGAAAUGUGUUUGACUCUGGAUAUUUUCAUCAUUUCAGGCAAGAAUGAUUGAUUUUUAUUACGGUCUGAUUAUGGUUUUAGUCCCUCUGUUAUCAUUUGAUUUUAAUUUAGUAUAAUUUGGUUUCUUUAAGUUUAUAAUAUUGACGUGAAUUUAAAAAAAAAAUGGAACUAUACUAAAUGCGGUCACAAAACUUAUGGAGGAUAGUUAUACUUUUUGCUUUCAUUAAUGAAUAGCUUUCUUGUCUUUAUCUGCCCUUAUCAAAUAAGAUUUUAUUAGUUAAAGGAUGUUUCCUGGAUCAACCUUCAAUUGAUACUGUAAGCAAUUUUCUUAUGUAAUUCUAAUAUAGAAUGUAUUUUGUUUUAAUAGAUCUAAUGCAUGGCAAUAAGGAGUCAUUAGCAUUUUUAUUAAGUUGUUUGGAUUUGCAGGGGAAAAAUGAAUUGCAAGUUUAUUUCACUUUCUGGGGUGAAAUAAUGAUAUAUUUUCUCUGUGCUCCCAGGGGGUUCCAUCUUUAUUCUCAGAUCUUUCGCCUUUGUAUGAUCACCCUGGCAAGGCAGACAUGUUGGAGCAACUUAUUCUUGAGUUGGCUGAAAUUCAUGGGUUAUUACUGAUGUUGUGUCAAUUCCCAAGACAAAUGAGGACUUCCGUCUCCUUUAUGACACUAAAGGUCGUUUUCACCUUCAUGCCAUCACUGGUGAUGAGACUAAGGUUUUUAUUAAUGGGACAUUAGUUUGUUAUGUUUCAUGUUACUGUUCGAUAUUCAUUAUCUACUUUUACCCUGUUGUUGUCUUAUAAUGAUUUGACAUAAUUGCACAUGUGCAAUUAAUUUAGUUAGAUUUCCCCCAUACUGAUCUACUUUUACCCUUUUUUUCUAAGAUACUCUGAUUUUGCAUUGUUUUCACGUGCUUAUUUCUGCUCUUGUUCUCACUGAUGUAAGAUUGAAUUAGUUUAAAAAUGUUUUCUGCUAA